RNAcentral lists this ribosomal RNA (524 nucleotides) under Shigella sonnei. RNAcentral's name for it is "bacterial SSU rRNA". It matches the Rfam family "Bacterial small subunit ribosomal RNA", at positions 202 to 708 of the family's 1533-position model. The record is from RNAcentral. Lineage: Bacteria; Pseudomonadati; Pseudomonadota; Gammaproteobacteria; Enterobacterales; Enterobacteriaceae.
AAAGAGGGGGACCUUCGGGCCUCUUGCCAUCGGAUGUGCCCAGAUGGGAUUAGCUAGUAGGUGGGGUAACGGCUCACCUAGGCGACGAUCCCUAGCUGGUCUGAGAGGAUGACCAGCCACACUGGAACUGAGACACGGUCCAGACUCCUACGGGAGGCAGCAGUGGGGAAUAUUGCACAAUGGGCGCAAGCCUGAUGCAGCCAUGCCGCGUGUAUGAAGAAGGCCUUCGGGUUGUAAAGUACUUUCAGCGGGGAGGAAGGGAGUAAAGUUAAUACCUUUGCUCAUUGACGUUACCCGCAGAAGAAGCACCGGCUAACUCCGUGCCAGCAGCCGCGGUAAUACGGAGGGUGCAAGCGUUAAUCGGAAUUACUGGGCGUAAAGCGCACGCAGGCGGUUUGUUAAGUCAGAUGUGAAAUCCCCGGGCUCAACCUGGGAACUGCAUCUGAUACUGGCAAGCUUGAGUCUCGUAGAGGGGGGUAGAAUUCCAGGUGUAGCGGUGAAAUGCGUAGAGAUCUGGAGGAAUA